This is a non-coding RNA of Rhamnusium bicolor, 73 nucleotides long. Lineage: Eukaryota; Metazoa; Arthropoda; Insecta; Coleoptera; Cerambycidae. The record is from the annotation of a GenBank genome assembly.
GGCUUCGUGGUCAAGCGGUAAGGACACUUGCCUUUCAACCAAGGGGUCCCGGGUUCGAAUCCUGGGUAUGACA